AUUGAACGCUGGCGGCAUGCCUUACACAUGCAAGUCGAACGGCAGCACGGGGGGUAACCCCUGGUGGCGAGUGGCGAACGGGUGAGUAAUGUAUCGGAACGUACCCUGCAGCGGGGGAUAACGCGUCGAAAGAUGUGCUAAUACCGCAUACGCUCUACGGAGGAAAGCGGAGGACCGCUAGGCUUCGCACUGCAGGAGCGGCCGAUAUCGGAUUAGCUAGUUGGCGGGGUAACGGCCCACCAAGGCGACGAUCCGUAGCUGGUCUGAGAGGACGAUCAGCCACACUGGAACUGACACACGGUCCAGACUCCUACGGGAGGCAGCAGUGGGGAAUUUUGGACAAUGGGCGCAAGCCUGAUCCAGCCAUGCCGCGUGAGUGAAGAAGGCCUUCGGGUUGUAAAGCUCUUUCGGCGGGGACGAAACGGUUCGUGCUAACACCACGGACUAAUGACGGUACCCGAAGAAGAAGCACCGGCUAACUACGUGCCAGCCGCCGCCGUAA
RNAcentral lists this ribosomal RNA (502 nucleotides) under uncultured bacterium. RNAcentral's name for it is "partial 16S ribosomal RNA". It matches the Rfam family "Bacterial small subunit ribosomal RNA", at positions 29 to 523 of the family's 1533-position model. The record is from RNAcentral.